Molecule: long non-coding RNA, 555 nt
Filed under: Mytilus galloprovincialis (Mediterranean mussel)
Lineage: Eukaryota; Metazoa; Mollusca; Bivalvia; Mytilida; Mytilidae
Source: RNAcentral
GGCAAUAACUCCUAAAGAAAUCAACAGACCAUUUUGGUCUUGUUGACUUGUUUGUAGAUCUUACUUUGCUGAACAUUUUUGCUGUUUACAGUUUAUCUCUAUCUAUAAUAAUAUUCAAGAUAAUAACCAAAAACAGCAAAAUGUCCUUAAAAUUACCAAUUCAGGGGCAGCAACCUAUCAACGGGUUGUCCAAUUCAUCUCAAAAUUUCAGGGCAGAUAGAUCUUGACCUGAUAAACAAUUUUACCCGAUGUCAGAUUUGCUCUGAAUGCUUUGGUUUUUGAGUGAUAAGCCAAAAACUGCAUUUUACCCCUAUGUUCUAUUUUUAGCCAUGGCGGCCAUCUUGGUUGGUUGACCAGGUCACCGGACACAAUUUUUUAACUAGAUACCCCAAUGAUGAUUGUGGUCAAGUUUGGAUUAAUUUGGCCCAGUAGUUUCAGAGGAGAAGAUUUUUGUAAAAGAUGACUAAGAUUUACGUAAAAUGGUUAAAAAUUGACUAUAAAGGGCAAUAACUCCUAAAGGGGUCAACAGACCAUUUUGGUCAUGUUGACUUAUUU